CCUACGGGAGGCAGCAGUGAGGAAUAUUGGUCAAUGGGCGCGAGCCUGAACCAGCCAAGUAGCGUGAAGGAUGACGGCCCUACGGGUUGUAAACGUCUGUUAUAAAGGAAUAAAGUGAGGCACGUGGGCCUUUUUGUAUGUACUUUAUGAAUAAGGAUCGGCUAACGCCGUGCCAGCAGCCGCGGUAAUACGGAGGAUCCGAGCGUUAUCCGGAUUUAUUGGGUUUAAAGGGAGCGUAGAUGGGUUGUUAAGUCAGUUUGGAAAGUUUGCGGCUCAACCGUAAAAUUGCAAUUGAUACUGGCAGUCUUGAGUACAGUUGCGGUCGGCGGUCUUCGUGGUGUAGCGG
Molecule: ribosomal RNA, 346 nt
Filed under: uncultured bacterium
Lineage: Bacteria
Description: partial 16S ribosomal RNA
Rfam family: Bacterial small subunit ribosomal RNA
Source: RNAcentral